ACUUCGUUAUUGGCACAACAGCUUCUGGAAAUCUGUUUCACAGAGAGUAUGGGGGCUUCUUUGGCCAAAUGGAGUGGGUACUUAUGAGUUCGGUCAGUGCCUGAGGGAGCACUCACUUCCUUGCCUGGUCAUAUUUUCAUUGGUGCAGGCUCCGUCUGCUUGGCAGCCACUGUUUGGGCCACAGCCUGUCCGCAGGGUCCUGCUCCUCUCUAAUUUGUUCAGACAUUGUGGUGUGUCUGGCCAUAUCAUUUGUCAUAGGUGUAAAAACAAUCACAACCAAAGCUUAAAGCUGUUGGGAUGAGCAGCUGCCUGGGAAUCACGCUCCUUCCUGCUCUUUCCAAAAAGCCAGGUGCCGCCGGCCAGCAUCCCGCUCCCUUUGACCCGCAGUCUGUGCGGGAAGUAGGCCCGGAGUGGUGCCAGCAGGAGGUGGCCUUAGAAAGGCGGAGACCCAAGGAGCAGAGUGAGUCGGCGUCCAGCUCCACCUGAAAGCGCCAUCUUGUCGCCACUUCCCUCAGGAGCAGGAAGAAGAAGAGAUUUUGGAGUAGCAAUGGAAUAAUGACUGGAGACUGCAAGAGCAUGCCCAGCCUCUUGCAUAGGAAGAAGUGGUAAGCUAAGGAGAGAAAUGCAGGGUUCCUAGUACACCAAUUUUCCAACUUUUUCAUCUUGGCCCUGCUUUAAAAUGAUGCAUCUACUGUCUUCAUGCCUCAGCACAGCAGAGAAAACCAUGCUGUGUUCCAGUUUACUUUGAAUGUUUCAGUGAAAAUGAUGAAGCUGAAAAAAUGACGGAGGCCCGUUUUACAUUGCAUUUCUCAGAGUCAUCGCCUCUGCUGCAGAUGGAACAACAGCCAUGGAGAAUGAGGGUCACCUGAAUGUGGAAAAGUUGAGUUGGAGCAAAACUGGCACGGCCAUACUGGAUGGACCUCAGCAUGACCAGGACACAUUUCAGCUCAAAUCCCCUGUGCCAAGAACACAUUCUGCCAAGGACCACCACCUCUUCCCACAACUAGAGCUGGCUUACCAGAGCACCGAUGGACUUGGAUACCUGAGAUAUCUGCUUGGGAUCCCACACUUUCAAGGUCUCUCCUCUGGCCUUCUUCUGGUUCUGCGACUCCUUACAGCGCUGGGAGUUGGUGAUGCCAACAGGACAUACGCUCCCAGAGCCUACCUCUCCCAGAUCACUUUAAAAGGCACCCAGGACCCCAGAAUUCUCAUCCUCAAAGGCAUGGAGCUCAGCUCUUGGCCCUCAACAAAUCUCUUCCCCAUAAAGAUCCUUUUGAGAGCUUAGGAUGUCCCCCGGAUGGUUUUGGUUGCAGAUUGUGGUGGUGGAGGGAGCUAUACAAUUUAAUCUAUUGCCAUUAAUUGGAUGCGCUAAUGGCAGAUUGGGUAGUGAUAAUGCCAUAAGAGGUAGUGUGUGAGCCGUGUGCUGCAUCUGUGCUAGCUCAGGUAAGUCAGCACACAGCACCUGCAGCCUCCUCUCACCUCUUCCCUGAGCAGCACCUUUUCACCUGAACAUGCUGAUCCCCUAGUGCUUCAUCUUGACAGCAACUUAACAAGCCCUGGGCAGCUUUUUAAAAUAAAUGACUAUGAUAUUGACUAUGAAUCUACAUAAAAGCCACUUGUUUUUUAGUCAUAAUCUGUGUCUAACUGCAGAAGAAAUUCACACCUUUGAAAAACAAAUAAAAAUGUAAAAAGUGAAAAUUGUUUGUAACCACAAUAUUCUGAAAUAGAACCUUUUUGUUAGAUCAUUUUCAAGAGGAUUUUUCAUACUUUCCUACAGUAAUACCAAUGUAUAUGCACUUGUAUAAAUUCUUGGUUAAAAUA
Long non-coding RNA from Homo sapiens (human), 1821 nucleotides. Ensembl annotates it as long intergenic non-protein coding RNA 1501. NCBI's taxonomy places the organism in Eukaryota, Metazoa, Chordata, Mammalia, Primates, Hominidae. The record is from Ensembl.